ACACAUGCAAGUCGAACGAAGCGCUGCGGAUAGAGACUUCGGUCAAUUGAAGCUUUGACUUAGUGGCGGACGGGUGAGUAACGCGUGAGGAACCUGCCUUUCAGUGGGGGACAACAGUUGGAAACGACUGCUAAUACCGCAUAAUGUGUUUUGGGGGCAUCCCCGGAACACCAAAGAUUUAUUGCUGAAAGAUGGCCUCGCGUCUGAUUAGAUAGUUGGUGGGGUAACGGCCUACCAAGUCGACGAUCAGUAGCCGGACUGAGAGGUUGAACGGCCACAUUGGGACUGAGAUACGGCCCAGACUCCUACGGGAGGCAGCAGUGGGGAAUAUUGGGCAAUGGGGGAAACCCUGACCCAGCAACGCCGCGUGAAGGAAGAAGGCUUUCGGGUUGUAAACUUCUUUUACCAGGGACGAAGGACGUGACGGUACCUGGAGAAAAAGCCACGGCUAACUACGUGCCAGCAGCCGCGGUAAUACGUAGGUGGCAAGCGUUGUCCGGAUUUACUGGGUGUAAAGGGCGUGUAGGCGGGAGAGCAAGUCAGGAGUGAAAUCUAUGGGCUUAACCCAUAAACUGCUUUUGAAACUGUUCUUCUUGAGUAUCGGAGAGGCAGGCGGAAUUCCUAGUGUAGCGGUGAAAUGCGUAGAUAUUAGGAGGAACACCAGUGGCGAAGGCGGCCUGCUGGACGACAACUGACGCUGAGGCGCGAAAGCGUGGGGAGCAAACAGGAUUAGGUACCCUGGUAGUCCACGCUGUAAACGAUGAAUACUAGGUGUGGGAGGACUGACCCCUUCCGUGCCGCAGUUAACACAAUAAGUAUUCCACCUGGGG
RNAcentral lists this ribosomal RNA (830 nucleotides) under uncultured bacterium. Its description in RNAcentral is "bacterial SSU rRNA". It matches the Rfam family "Bacterial small subunit ribosomal RNA", at positions 51 to 878 of the family's 1533-position model. The record is from RNAcentral.